RNAcentral lists this long non-coding RNA (310 nucleotides) under Elaeis guineensis (African oil palm). Its description in RNAcentral is "long non-coding RNA (EGUI_LNC032898)". The record is from RNAcentral. Lineage: Eukaryota; Viridiplantae; Streptophyta; Magnoliopsida; Arecales; Arecaceae.
AGAACUAAGCUGGCACCACUUUUUUGAGAAUUUUUAAAGCUCUGUAUACAUGAAGGACCUAGAAUGUGUCAUUUUCAGGAUUUUUUGGAAUUGAUCCAUCAUCAGGGAUAAUCAUUCCAUAAUAAAGUUAGCUAGCACUUGGUCUUUGAUUACAAUUCGAGGUAGGUACUGAAUAUCAAACUCACUGAGCUUUAUGAUCCAUUUAGCAAUCCGACCUGAUGUAUCAACUCGCUGUAAUAUCGAUCUCAGUAAUUGAUAGGUCAAUACUAUAACCAUAUGAGCUUGGAAAUAUGGCUGAAGUCGUUGGGCC